The sequence is a transfer RNA, 95 nucleotides long. It matches the Rfam family "tRNA". Rfam says of the family: Transfer RNA (tRNA) molecules are approximately 80 nucleotides in length. Their secondary structure includes four short double-helical elements and three loops (D, anti-codon, and T loops). Further hydrogen bonds mediate the characteristic L-shaped molecular structure. tRNAs have two regions of fundamental functional importance: the anti-codon, which is responsible for specific mRNA codon recognition, and the 3' end, to which the tRNAs corresponding amino acid is attached (by aminoacyl-tRNA synthetases). tRNAs cope with the degeneracy of the genetic code in two manners: having more than one tRNA (with a specific anti-codon) for a particular amino acid; and 'wobble' base-pairing, i.e. permitting non-standard base-pairing at the 3rd anti-codon position. The record is from Rfam.
GGGCACAUGGUGUAGUUGGUUAUCACAUCCGCUUAGCAUGUCGCAUAGGUCGACUAGCGUGCGGGGGGUGCUGGGUUCAAUUCCCAGUGUGUCCA